Molecule: ribosomal RNA, 465 nt
Filed under: uncultured bacterium
Lineage: Bacteria
Description: partial 16S ribosomal RNA
Rfam family: Bacterial small subunit ribosomal RNA
Source: RNAcentral
GACGAACGCUGGCGGCGUGCUUAACACAUGCAAGUCGUACGGUAAGGCCCUUUCGGGGGUACACGAGUGGCGAACGGGUGAGUAACACGUGAGUAACCUGCCCACAACUUUGGGAUAACGCUAGGAAACUGGUGCUAAUACUGGAUAUGUGCUCCUGCUGCAUGGUGGGGGUUGGAAAGCUCCGGCGGUUGUGGAUGGACUCGCGGCCUAUCAGCUUGUUGGUGGGGGAGUGGCCUACCAAGGCGGCGACGGGUAGCCGGCCUGAGAGGGUGACCGGCCACAUUGGGACUGAGAUACGGCCCAGACUCCUACGGGAGGCAGCAGUGGGGAAUAUUGCACAAUGGGCGCAAGCCUGAUGCAGCAACGCCGCGUGCGGGAUGACGGCCUUCGGGUUGUAAACCGCUUUCAGCAGGGACGAAGCUUUUUGUGACGGUACCUGCAGAAGAAGCACCGGCUAACUACGUG